Molecule: ribosomal RNA, 25 nt
Filed under: Gynaecotyla longiintestinata
Lineage: Eukaryota; Metazoa; Platyhelminthes; Trematoda; Plagiorchiida; Microphallidae
Also listed under: 1 other name
Description: partial 5.8S ribosomal RNA
Source: RNAcentral
UAUAACUCUGAUCGGUGGAUCACUC